AAGUAUGAAGCAACAUUUGCAUUUAGUUUCGACCUAAAAAUUUGAUUUUAUUUAAUCCUUACUUU
This 65-nucleotide transfer RNA is filed under the name Balmes birmanus. RNAcentral describes it as "tRNA-Arg". The record is from RNAcentral. Lineage: Eukaryota; Metazoa; Arthropoda; Insecta; Neuroptera; Psychopsidae.